GCACACAUGUUUCAGUUUUAUUAUUAUAUUGACGCAUAUUAAAGCUAUCGCUUGUUGUAUAUUUACUUUUAAGUACGAUGACGUGAGAAAAAAUGCAUUAAACAUUCCGUUUUGUCAAGACACAUUUCAUGUUCGUUACUUCGUACAUUUACCACUACACCAGGAUUGGAACUUAAAUGAAUCAUCCCAAAUGCUAUGUUCAGAAACACUGAAGUACCAUGGCUGAACCAGAUCCGGUAACAGAGAAAGAAAGUACAACAGUACACGACUGUGAUUGUCAUAAGCUGUAUGCCACGGAUGUCCCUGGGGCUGUUUUACCGCAACCUCAACCAGAAAGAUGCAAAGUUGCAGAGUUGUGAAUAUGGUUGAAAUGCCGGGGACAAGCUGUGAAAUUGAAGGAGACAAAAGCCGAACUUUGCUUGAGGGUAAAGAAAUUCAGUGACAACCAGGAUAACAUUCUAAUUGUGGAUCCUUAUCCAGACCAGCCAUUCGCAGCUAAGAAGAAGUCGUCCUGUAUGAACUGUAAAGGACAAUCGACAGUGUCGUACAGCAGAAGAACAUUUUAAUUUGGAAGAAUGCACAUGGACCCAAAGCACCAGACCAAUC
Molecule: long non-coding RNA, 606 nt
Organism: Dreissena polymorpha
Lineage: Eukaryota; Metazoa; Mollusca; Bivalvia; Myida; Dreissenidae
Exons: 4
Source: RefSeq, a predicted model, not a curated record